AUACGGAGGAUCCGAGCGUUAUCCGGAUUUAUUGGGUUUAAAGGGUGCGUAGGUGGUUUGAUAAGUCAGCGGUGAAAGUUUGCAGCUUAACUGUAAAAAUGCCGUUGAAACUGUCGGACUUGAGUGUAAAUGAGGUAGGCGGAAUGCGUGGUGUAGCGGUGAAAUGCAUAGAUAUCACGCAGAACUCCGAUUGCGAAGGCAGCUUACUAAGCUACAACUGACACUGAAGCACGAAAGCGUGGGGAUCAAACAGGAUUAGAUACCCUGGUAGUCCACGCAGUAAACGAUGAUUACUAGCUGUUUGCGAUACACAGUAAGCGGCACAGCGAAAGCGUUAAGUAAUCCACCUGGGGAGUACGCCGGCAACGGUGAAACUCAAAUGAAUUGACGGGG
This 393-nucleotide ribosomal RNA is filed under the name uncultured bacterium. Its description in RNAcentral is "partial 16S ribosomal RNA". It matches the Rfam family "Bacterial small subunit ribosomal RNA", at positions 523 to 918 of the family's 1533-position model. The record is from RNAcentral.